Molecule: ribosomal RNA, 373 nt
Filed under: uncultured bacterium
Lineage: Bacteria
Description: bacterial SSU rRNA
Rfam family: Bacterial small subunit ribosomal RNA
Source: RNAcentral
UACGGAGGGUGCAAGCGUUAUCCGGAAUCACUGGGUUUAAAGGGUGCGUAGGCGGAAUAUUAAGUCAGUGGUGAAAGCCUGUCGCUUAACGAUAGAACUGCCAUUGAUACUGAUAUUCUUGAAUUGGGUUGAGGUUAGCGGAAUGUGACAUGUAGCGGUGAAAUGCAUAGAUAUGUCAUGGAACACCAAUUGCGAAGGCAGCUAGCUGGGCCUUGAUUGACGCUGAGGCACGAAAGCGUGGGUAGCGAACAGGAUUAGAUACCCUGGUAGUCCACGCCCUAAACGAUGCUAACUCGAUGUUUGGACUUAAGGUUUGAGCAUCCAAGGGAAACCGAUAAGUUAGCCACCUGGGGAGUACGACCGCAAGGUUGAA